AGAUGGGAUUGAACUCCAUCUAGUGUUUGGAGACAUCACUAAUGAGACUACUGAUGCCAUCGUGAACACCACUGACUUUAAGGACUUCCAGACAGCUGGAGUAUGUAAGAACAUCCUUACUAAGGCAGGACCUCAAAUCCAGGCUCAACUGACAGGCGCUCGGGCAGCGAGCGGGCAGAUCUUCACGACCCCACCAGGAGGCUUCCCCUGUAAGACCAUCAUGCAUGUUUGUGGAGAGAGAAACCCUGAU
RNAcentral lists this long non-coding RNA (250 nucleotides) under Sinocyclocheilus anshuiensis. RNAcentral describes it as "lncRNA (ENSSANG00000044828.1)". The record is from RNAcentral. Lineage: Eukaryota; Metazoa; Chordata; Actinopteri; Cypriniformes; Cyprinidae.